RNAcentral lists this ribosomal RNA (242 nucleotides) under uncultured bacterium. RNAcentral describes it as "partial 16S ribosomal RNA". It matches the Rfam family "Bacterial small subunit ribosomal RNA", at positions 90 to 334 of the family's 1533-position model. The record is from RNAcentral.
UUUGAGUGGCGCACCGGUGAGUAAUAUAUCAGAAUUUAAUUUGCAGUAUUGCAUACACUAGUGAAAACAAGUAUAAAACAAUAUAAAUUAAUUCAAGAAUUAAAACAGGGAAAACCUUGUGCUGCGAAAAUUGCUGAUAUCUGAUUAGCUAGUUGGUUUUUGAGUUAAAAGCUCACCAAGGCUAUGAUCAGUAGUUGUUCUGAGAGGAUGAACAACCACACUGAGAUUGAAAUAAGGCUCAG